RNAcentral lists this ribosomal RNA (253 nucleotides) under uncultured bacterium. RNAcentral's name for it is "partial 16S ribosomal RNA". It matches the Rfam family "Bacterial small subunit ribosomal RNA", at positions 524 to 776 of the family's 1533-position model. The record is from RNAcentral.
UACGGAGGGUGCGAGCGUUAUCCGGAUUUAUUGGGUUUAAAGGGUGCGUAGGCGGACUGGUAAGUCAGCUGUGAAAUCUUCCGGCUCAACCGUGAAAUUGCAUUUGAUACUGUUGGUCUUGAGUACACUUGAGGUGGGCGGAAUUUGUGGUGUAGCGGUGAAAUGCUUAGAUAUGACAAAGAACACCAAUUGCGAAGGCAGCUCACUGGGGUAUAACUGACGCUGAUGCACGAAGGUGUGGGUAUCAAACAGG